RNAcentral lists this ribosomal RNA (399 nucleotides) under uncultured bacterium. Its description in RNAcentral is "partial 16S ribosomal RNA". It matches the Rfam family "Bacterial small subunit ribosomal RNA", at positions 360 to 774 of the family's 1533-position model. The record is from RNAcentral.
AAUAUGGGGCAAUGGGCGCAAGCCUGACCCAGCAAGCCCGCGUGGAGGAAGAAGGCCUUCGGGUUGUCUACUUCUUUUAUCAGGGACGAAGACGUUACGGUACCUGCAGAAUAAGCUCCGGCUAACUACGUCCCAGCAGCCGCGGUAAUACGUAGGGAGCAAGCGUUAUCCGGAUUUACUGGGUGUAAAGGGCGCGUAGGCGGGAGUAUAAGUCAGAUGUGAAAUCUGGGGGCUCAACCCCCAAACUGCAUUUGAAACUAUAUUACUUGAGUGAUGGAGAGGCAAGUGGAAUUCCUAGUGUAGCGGUGAAAUGCGUAAAUAUUAGGAGGAACACCAGUGGCGAAGGCGACUUGCUGGACAUUAACUGACGCUGAGGCGCGAAAGCGUGGGGAGCAAACA